AUUGAACGCUGGCGGCAGGCUUAACACAUGCAAGUCGAGCGGGGUGAUGGUGCUUGCACUAUCACUUAGCGGCGGACGGGUGAGUAAUGCUUAGGAAUCUGCCUAUUAGUGGGGGACAACAUCUCGAAAGGGAUGCUAAUACCGCAUACGUCCUACGGGAGAAAGCAGGGGAUCACUUGUGACCUUGCGCUAAUAGAUGAGCCUAAGUCGGAUUAGCGAGUUGGUGGGGUAAAGGCCUACCAAGGCGAGGAUCUGUAGCGGGUCUGAGAGGAUGAUCCGCCACACUGGGACUGAGACACGGCCCAGAGUCCUACGGGAGGCAGCAGUGGGGAAUAUUGGACAAUGGGGGGAACCCUGUUCCAGCCAUGCCGCGUGUGUAAAGAAGGCCUUAUGGUUGUAAAGCACUUUAAGCGAGGAGGAGGCUCUUUUGGUUAAUACCCAAGAUGAGUGGACGUUACUCGCAGAAUAAGCACCGGCUAACUCUGUGCCAGCCGCCGCCGUAA
RNAcentral lists this ribosomal RNA (503 nucleotides) under uncultured bacterium. Its description in RNAcentral is "partial 16S ribosomal RNA". It matches the Rfam family "Bacterial small subunit ribosomal RNA", at positions 30 to 523 of the family's 1533-position model. The record is from RNAcentral.